AUUGAACGCUGGCGGCAGGCCUAACACAUGCAAGUCGAACGAGUGGCGGACGGGUGAGUAAUGUCUGGGAAACUGCCUGAUGGAGGGGGAUAACUACUGGAAACGGUAGCUAAUACCGCAUACCAUCGGAUGUGCCCAGAUGGGAUUAGCUAGUAGGUGGGGUAAAGGCUCACCUAGGCGACGAUCCCUAGCUGGUCUGAGAGGAUGACAAGCAACACUGGAACUGAGACACGGUCCAGACGCCGACGGGAGGAAGGAGGGGGGAAGAUUGCACAAUGGGCGCAAGCCGUAUGCAGCCAUGCCGCGUGUAUGAAGAAGGCCGUCGGGUUGUAAAGGACUGUCAGCGGGGAGGCGUUACCCGCAGAAGAAGCACCGGCUAACGCCGGGCCAGCAGCCGCGGUAAUAC
RNAcentral lists this ribosomal RNA (406 nucleotides) under uncultured bacterium. RNAcentral describes it as "partial 16S ribosomal RNA". It matches the Rfam family "Bacterial small subunit ribosomal RNA", at positions 29 to 526 of the family's 1533-position model. The record is from RNAcentral.